This 195-nucleotide ribosomal RNA is filed under the name uncultured bacterium. Its description in RNAcentral is "partial 16S ribosomal RNA". It matches the Rfam family "Bacterial small subunit ribosomal RNA", at positions 173 to 353 of the family's 1533-position model. The record is from RNAcentral.
GUUCCAAGAGCCGCAUGGCCCAUGGAAGAAAAGGUGGCCUCUACCUGUAAGCUAUCGCCUGAAGAGGGGUUUGCGUCUGAUUAGCUGGUUGGAGGGGUAACGGCCCACCAAGGCGACGAUCAGUAGCCGGUCUGAGAGGAUGAACGGCCACACUGGAACUGAGACACGGUCCAGACUCCUACGGGAGGCAGCAUG